GGCUUGGUGUUGAAGGCCUCCUCACAAUAGAGAAGAUUAGCAUGGACCCUGGGCAAGGAGGACACACAAAUCUGUGAAACAGUCCAUAUUUUU
Molecule: small nuclear RNA, 93 nt
Filed under: Mesocricetus auratus (golden hamster)
Lineage: Eukaryota; Metazoa; Chordata; Mammalia; Rodentia; Cricetidae
Source: RNAcentral